Molecule: small nuclear RNA, 148 nt
Filed under: Brettanomyces bruxellensis AWRI1499
Lineage: Eukaryota; Fungi; Ascomycota; Pichiomycetes; Pichiales; Pichiaceae
Description: U4 spliceosomal RNA
Rfam family: U4 spliceosomal RNA
About the family: U4 small nuclear RNA (U4 snRNA) is a component of the major U2-dependent spliceosome. The structure of U4 snRNA from yeast and human has been reported.
Source: Rfam by way of RNAcentral
AUCCUUAUUGCUAGGGCAUUACGUGUAUCAGUGAGGAUUCGUCCGAGAUCAUGUUUUUGCUAGUUGAAAACUUCAACAAGACUGCUCUCUUGUGUUUGAGCCCUUGUGCUUUGRACACUCGAGGAAUUUUUGGACAUAUUUUACUUUA